RNAcentral lists this ribosomal RNA (437 nucleotides) under uncultured Oscillospiraceae bacterium. Its description in RNAcentral is "bacterial SSU rRNA". It matches the Rfam family "Bacterial small subunit ribosomal RNA", at positions 341 to 792 of the family's 1533-position model. Lineage: Bacteria; Bacillati; Bacillota; Clostridia; Eubacteriales; Oscillospiraceae. The record is from RNAcentral.
ACGGAAGGCAGCAGUGGGGAAUAUUGGGCAAUGGGCGAAAGCCUGACCCAGCAACGCCGCGUGAAGGAAGAAGGUCUUCGGAUUGUAAACUUCUUUUAUGAGGGACGAAGGACGUGACGGUACCUCAUGAAUAAGCCACGGCUAACUACGUGCCAGCAGCCGCGGUAAUACGUAGGUGGCAAGCGUUGUCCGGAAUUACUGGGUGUAAAGGGAGCGCAGGCGGGAAAGCAAGUCAGUGGUGAAAUGCAUGGGCUUAACCCAUGAACUGCCAUUGAAACUGUUUUUCUUGAGUGGAUCAGAGGCAAGCGGAAUUCCGAGUGUAGCGGUGAAAUGCGUAGAUAUUCGGAGGAACACCAGUGGCGAAGGCGGCUUGCUGGGGUCUAACUGACGCUGAGGCUCGAAAGUGUGGGGAGCAAACAGGAUUAGAUACCCUGGUA